RNAcentral lists this ribosomal RNA (492 nucleotides) under uncultured bacterium. Its description in RNAcentral is "partial 16S ribosomal RNA". It matches the Rfam family "Bacterial small subunit ribosomal RNA", at positions 29 to 507 of the family's 1533-position model. The record is from RNAcentral.
AGUGAACGCUGGCGGUAGGCCUAACACAUGCAAGUCGAACGGCAGCACAGUAAGAGCUUGCUCUUACGGGUGGCGAGUGGCGGACGGGUGAGGAAUACAUCGGAAUCUACUUUUUCGUGGGGGAUAACGUAGGGAAACUUACGCUAAUACCGCAUACGACCUACGGGUGAAAGCAGGGGAUCUUCGGACCUUGCGCGAUUGAAUGAGCCGAUGUCGGAUUAGCUAGUUGGCGGGGUAAAGGCCCACCAAGGCGACGAUCCGUAGCUGGUCUGAGAGGAUGAUCAGCCACACUGGAACUGAAACAAGGUCCAGACUCCUACGGGAAGCAACAGUGGGGAAUAUUGGACAAUGGGCGCAAGCCUGAUCCAACCAUACCGCGUGGGUGAAGAAGGCCUUCGGGUUGUAAAGCCCUUUUGUUGGGAAAGAAAAGCAGCAGGUUAAUACCCCGCUGUUCUGACGGUACCCAAAGAAUAAGCACCGGCUAACUUCGUG